RNAcentral lists this ribosomal RNA (346 nucleotides) under uncultured bacterium. RNAcentral describes it as "bacterial SSU rRNA". It matches the Rfam family "Bacterial small subunit ribosomal RNA", at positions 30 to 378 of the family's 1533-position model. The record is from RNAcentral.
AUUGAACGCUGGCGGCAUGCCUUACACAUGCAAGUCGAACGGCAGCACGGGAGCAAUCCUGGUGGCGAGUGCGAACGGGUGAGUAAUAUAUCGGAACGUGCCCAGUCGUGGGGAUAACGUAGCGAAAGCUACGCUAAUACCGCAUACGAUCUAUGGAUGAAAGCGGGGGAUCGCAAGACCUCGCGCGAUUGGAGCGGCCGAUAUCAGAUUAGGUAGUUGGUGAGGUAAAGGCUCACCAAGCCGACGAUCUGUAGCUGGUCUGAGAGGACGACCAGCCACACUGGGACUGAGACACGGCCCAGACUCCUACGGGAGGCAGCAGUGGGGAAUUUUGGACAAUGGGCGC